This 76-nucleotide transfer RNA is filed under the name Rhizobium sp. MHM7A. Its description in RNAcentral is "tRNA-Thr". It matches the Rfam family "tRNA". From Rfam's summary of the family: Transfer RNA (tRNA) molecules are approximately 80 nucleotides in length. Lineage: Bacteria; Pseudomonadati; Pseudomonadota; Alphaproteobacteria; Hyphomicrobiales; Rhizobiaceae. The record is from RNAcentral.
GCCGCUUUAACUCAGCUGGUAGAGUGCGUCAUUCGUAAUGACGAAGUCAGGUGUUCGAAUCACCUAAGCGGCACCA